Molecule: long non-coding RNA, 223 nt
Filed under: Erythranthe guttata (spotted monkey flower)
Lineage: Eukaryota; Viridiplantae; Streptophyta; Magnoliopsida; Lamiales; Phrymaceae
Description: long non-coding RNA (EGUT_LNC000095)
Source: RNAcentral
AUCUCUUCAAAUUUUAUACGAAAAGGCUAAAUCCCAUGCUCCAAGGCCCCCGUCCCUUGACCCGACAAGUAUUUGAUGAAGAAAUGUAAAUCAUGGUAACUCAACGGCCCGUUAGGGUAGCGGAACCGGACUUGAUUCCCACAAUGAACCAACCAUCAUUGGAGUUGAAAUUCCCACACUGCUGCUGUCAGGAUUUGAUCCUAGAACCUUGUACCAACUUACC